This 114-nucleotide microRNA precursor is filed under the name Ovis aries (sheep). RNAcentral describes it as "miRNA (ENSOARG00000022158.1)". The record is from RNAcentral. Lineage: Eukaryota; Metazoa; Chordata; Mammalia; Artiodactyla; Bovidae.
AUAAAUGCUGUUAUUAACAGUUUGCAUUUUCUUGACAUAUAUUGGGUUGACCAAAAAGUUCUUUGGGGUUUUUCAAAAAACCCAAAUGAAGUUUUUGGCCAACCCAAUAAUAAU